GUUUGCUCCCUCUAGGGAGGCACCGGGGGCGGACGGGUGUUGAGACCUAUGGGUUGCGCUCGAUGGCAGUGAGCGGAAAUUCCGCUUUCUAGUCACCGACGAUUUGGUGAGCGAAGCGGACCGCAAGUCAACAAACAGGAUUUUCUCAGAUGGUAAUUGAGUGCUUUAAAGAAACUUGGCAGGAUAAUGAAGAACGAAGUGAGGGAGUAACAGGUCUUAUGUAGAUCUGGAGUGGAGCAUGCUAAGUAGAAGGAAAGGCCACAGAGGGAACAAACGUAGCCAAGUUUAGGCGAAGGAAAGGGGCCCCUGCGCCUCGGGCAGGAUGGGAAGGAAGGGAGAUGAGGCCAGGACUUCAGCACCAAGUCUUGUGAGGCGUGUGAGCCAGGAUGAGGAGUUCGGAUUUUACGUGGAACUCAGUGGGAAAUGAAGGCUUCUAAGCAGAAGAACGAUAUGCUGUUUUUAUGAGUCUCAUGGCUCCUGCUCUCUUCAGAAAGAUGUACCUCCUCAUUUUGCUAUGGACAGUGGGAACGCAGGAAACGUAGAGAGUCAGAAAAAACAUUCAGGGCAACAUUACUGUGAAGACCUGGAUAACUGAAUCCAAGAGAUUGGUAUCCACUCACACUUUUUAAUUGAGAAGACUUCAAAAUACACUUGGAUCUUCCACGCUUUUGGAAAACUUCUCCACCAAACAAUAAAUCACCCACAGUGCUCUUGUUACAGCAAGUUUUCUAAGGCUAAACAAGAUUUUUAUUUUUCCCAUGAAGCCACAUUGUUGCUUCUUCGCUUUAAUGGUGAUUGUUACUGUGCCGGCAGCUUCUGUUUUGGAAGAUGUGGACUUCACCCUAGUUACCCCACUAGAAGCAAAUCAUAGCUCCUGGUCCACCUCAGCCGGUUCCCACUCAGCCGAUGAUGUCGUCAUAGCCAGAGAGGGAGCCAACGUUUCCAUUGAAUGUCUUCUCACAGUUGGUCACUAUGAAGAUGUCCGUUGGUACAACUCUAAAGGACAAUACCUGGAUGGCAGAGACAGAGGUGGAAAAUGGUUGAUUUCUGAUAACUUCCUGAAUAUCACCAACGUAACCUUUGAUGACCGUGGGCUCUAUACAUGUUUUGUCACGUCCCCGAUUCGUACCUCCUACUCUGUCACCCUCCGCGUUAUUUUCACCUCGGGAGACAUGAGUAUCUACUAUAUGAUUGUUUGCCUGAUUGCCUUUACAAUCACUCUCAUCCUGAAUGUUACCCGGCUGUGCAUGAUGAGCAGCCAUCUUCGCAAGACAGAGAAGGCCAUCAAUGAAUUCUUCAGAACUGAGGGGGCUGAGAAACUUCAGAAGGCCUUUGAGAUUGCAAAACGCAUCCCCAUCAUCACUUCAGCCAAGACUCUGGAGCUUGCUAAAGUCACUCAGUUUAAGACCAUGGAGUUUGCUCGUUACAUUGAAGAACUGGCAAGAAGCGUUCCUCUUCCACCCCUUAUUCUAAACUGUCGGGCCUUUGUUGAGGAGAUGUUUGAGGCUGUGCGAGUGAAUGACCCUGAUGACAUGGGCGAAAGAAUUAAAGACAGACCUGCCUUGGAUGCUCAAGGUGGCAUCUACGUUAUUAACCCAGAGAUGGGGCGGAGCAGUUCACCAGGAGGAGAUUCGGAUGAUGGUUCACUGAAUGAGCAUGGCCAAGAGAUAGCAGUUCAGGUUUCUGUCCACCCUCAGUCAGAGACCAAAAGUAUUGAUACAGAUUCUCAAGACAGCAGUCAUUUCAGCCCUCCUGAUGAUACAGGAUCUGCAGACUCCAGCUCUAACUACAAAGAUGGAGCCUAUGAAAACCGCCAGCUCUGAGCUAAUGCAGUCCCUGCACAAGCAGCUCUCAGGAGGAACCUGUUUCAUGGAGGAGAUAACAUUUUUAUCAAAAGAUAACUGGAGAUUUUUCCCUUUGAUGUUUAGCAUAUCAGAAGAUGAAUUGCCAAACUCUGUAAAAAUGCAGCAGUUUCCCCAUUAGUUCCUAGUCCUUUUCCUUAACUUGUUAGGCUUUAAAGGAGCCUAAGAGAUAAACAUGAUGGGAAAAUCCUGAACUAAGAGUCUUGCGGCUUCUCUUCUGGUCAGUUUUUCUGUUGAUCAGAUGUGAUACUUAUUUUGAAGCCUCAGUUUUCCCCUCAGGAAGAUAAGGUAUUUACAUUUGACAAAAUCUAAAGUCUCUAAUCCCAUAACUUCCUACCUGUUGCAUUUAAACCAUGAAAAUCUGCGACACUUCUCUGAACCUUGCCCCAGACAUUUGGUCUCUUCUUUAUGGAAAGGCCCAUCUGAGACUUUAUCCUGUGGUCUGGAUUUCUACACCAGUGCCACAGUACACAACAAGUGUGGGUAUUUUUUCAGAUGUUCUUCUGUCUGGACUGUACCAUUAUAUAUGCUAGACUGAAUCUUUUCAGUGUAGCACAUGAUCGUGUUGCCACACAGAUAUGGGCGAACUGACUGCUCAUUAGUAAGCUACUUUCCAUGAGUGAAUUGAUCCUUGUUGGGGAACAUUAUGAGACAUCAUUUAGUUCAUUGAGGCUGGCAGUCCUUUCCCAGCUGACCUCCAAAAGUGAGCGGUCUGUUCCUAAGGAAUAAUAUCUUCAAGGCUUUUAGAUUAAGAACAGUGUCAAAUUGUCUGUCUCUGAUAAAUCAUGGAUUUUGAUAUGUCUGUUAAAAAUUUCUCAGGCACUCCCUAUUUAAAAGUACUGGACUCUACGAGUGGGUUCUGUGUUUGAGAUCUCAUUCUAGGAUAAAACCAAGAACUGCAUAUUCCUCUUGAGACCUCGGUCAACGUCCUUUCCCUCUGUGGUCUUAAGUAUGGUGCUAAAAGUUGUACAUCUCCUUAUCUUGCUUGUUUUGUGGAUAUUUUGUUUUUUAUGUUUUUAUUUUUGGAUACUUCAGAUGGGUAAUUUUGAACUAGGGCUGCUUUUGUGCCAAGAAAUAAUUACCUGAAACAAGAUUAGAUAGAUGUGUUUGGUGUGUUACUACAUUAAAAUACACACAGAGAUAAUCUAGACGUAAAAUGGGAGAAAAAUGAUGGAUGAUGCCACCUGGUUCAACUGUGUAUAAUAAACACUAAGGAUGGCAUUUCUUGCCUGGCUAAGAUCUGAUAUAAUGGAAUUGUAAAUACUCUUCAGAAUAAUUUCUUCAGCUGCAGGAAGCUUGGUGCCAUAUAAUUUUAAGAACUUGGCAGUGGAACUGCAUUUAAUGCUUCAUGUUUCUUCAUUUGGUUUCUGGUUAUUGAAGAAUUACUUGAACUAGAGGAUCCGGAGGGAAAUGUUCAGAGGAGGUUUUAUCAGGAUUUUAAUUUAGGGUUUCAAACAAGAAGACAGGAAAUUCAAUGUGUCUAGUGGAACUCAUGCCUCCCUUUGUCCAGGUUUAUCAGAAGUGAUACAUCUGUUCUAGACAGCAUGAAUGAAUCAAUGAGCAGCUUUAUCAGAUGGCUUUAUGGAUAAAGAUGAUAAUGCUGCCUUUUCUGUCUCUCAGGCUGUUUCUAUGGAAACCUCCAGGGCCAAACAAAAGCUACCAAUCAUUUAGCCAAAGCUUGCCUUGGCUUGUAGACGUGUUUCUUCCAGGAAAAUUGUUUUCAUACAUUUUGCUAUUAGAGCAAGGGCUCUUAAACAUAUCCUAGAUUAUAGAAUAUGCUUUCUCUUUCCACAGUGUUUCUCUUGAAAAAUUAAAAAUUUUAAAUCCCUUGUGUAGGAUCAGUCUCCUGAAUAUCCCUCAUAUCUUCAGAUAGUACACCAAUCCUGUCCUAAUAUAGCAAGUGUAGAAUCACCUCUCAGAACGUAACUUGUUACUUUAAAGAGAGUGGGUUUACCCCACCUGUUUUCAGAAGGGAUAUUAGUGUUUAGAAAGACAGAUUUAAAAAUCAAAGUUCUGAGAAACAACUUUCGGAAAACAUAGGAAGUACUGAAAAAAAAUUGUAAGUUUGCACAAUAUGAUAUAAUAAAAUAUAGGCUGCCACUACAGUGUAUCCUACAUAAAUUAUUUUAGAAACAUAAUGGUGGCCUAACUGGUAGCCAAAGUAACUGGUUUGAUUUUCAUCUUCCUAGUUAUGGUGCCAUUAAGGAAGACAAAAUUUUAAUAGGUGUGGUAGGUAGUGUGGCCCAUGCCUAUAAGCACUCAUAUAAUCCCAGCACUUGGGAGGCUGACACAAGAGGAUUAAGACUCUAAGGCUAGCCUGGGCUACAUGGUGAGUGAGACCCUAUCUCAAAAAACGAAAAAUUCAUAGGAGUUGGCACUAUUUCAUGCAGCUGGUUUUCAAGAGGAAUAAAACCACACAAUAUUUUUUGUAUCUCAUAAAAUACUCUUCAUCUAUAAUUAGCAGUUGUAAAUUCUUUAACCUUUGGAACUUCAACUACAAUCUAAAAGUCUUGAUAGUAACUGUGGUGUAAUUAUCUUUUUGUCUCAUUGAUGUCUAGUCAGUUAAAAAUAAGAAAACCUUUACCUAACAAAAUGUACCUAAAAUCCUUUUGACAUCUCAUUUGUAAAUUUCGUAUUGUUAUUUAAUGAGCCUUAUUGUCCUUAUGAAAUAUAGUGAAAUAAAUUUCCAAAAAGUGACAAACAACUUAAUAGAGUCCUGCCUGCAAGAACCAGAUAGACAGGCGUCCUCUGAGUCGAUACCGGACCUGUGUCUGUCGGUGGUGUGCUGAUCACCUGUCCUCAGAGUUGAAUCUGUUAUGAUGGCACGAUUCUCAAGUCAGGCCCAGUAUUUACUGACCACCUGCCAUGUGCGAAAUGCUCUUCCAUGAGUGAGAAUCCAUGGUGAUUGUGACAUGUGGUGCAUCUUUAAUCUGCGGUCCCAAAAGCCUCUAAAGAGGGCGUUGGGCUGAAACCCAAGUGAUGAACCAGUCCUUCCAAGAACCUUUGAAGAAAUUGAGGCACAGAGAAAUGUAUGGACCUACUAGAGCUCCCAGGAGGAAAACUGGGAGCUCAGCCGACAAAAGGACAAACACGAGAGAAAUGAGGUGGGAGAGGACAGAGGAAGUGACUCCUGGUUGCUGUGACUAUCGCUGGGCACCUGUAGUUACCAGCUCCUGGCUCUCCAGGUCCCUUUCUCUUCGGCUGUCUUACCGUCUGGCUGUUUUCGGCUACCAUGAAGUGAGCAGCUCUCCACUGGAGCCCCAAGGUCCACCAUGGUGUUCUGUCUUACCACGGGCCUGAAGCGCUGAACCCAGCUGAUGGCCAACUGAAACCUCAGAAACUGGAGCCACAACUCACCCUCCCUCCUCAAAGUCAUUGUUCUUGGGUAUUUGGUCACAGAGGUGAAAAGCUAACUGACACAGAAGAGGACUUAAACAGGAAAUACUCUGUUUUCCCAAGCCCUGGUGUUUUCAUGGCAGCACCAGGAGGAAGGCUACCCGUGCACUGAAUAUGUGCAUCUGACCUGCCAGCUGAGGCUUUGUUUGAGAUGUAUCUGCCCAACAACAUGGAAUGUUUAUAUUUUAACAUUUGUAGCUUCUCUGUCUGCUCUUUCUAAAGUUAUCCUACUCGAGGCACCUUCCAUAUUCACUGUCUUGAUUCAAUAGAAUUCCUUUAUGGUUGGCUUAAAUGGAGGGGCAGGGGAGAGAGAGGAGGAGAGAAGAAUUCCCUGUCUAGGUCAUUUCAAACAGACAUCCUGCGAAACCUCAACUCAAACUAGGAGCUGCAAUGCAGACAGCAGAUUGAGCCUCCUAGAGCGAUAUUCCACAUCUGCUAGUCCUCCCCCAUCCUGCCAUGCAAGACUGGGUCCAGAAUUGUGGAAUUAAAAAGAUUUCAAAGCAUCUGAUACAAGGGCUUUGUUUAAUAAAACCAUGUUUAGGGGAGGGGGCUUGAAAGGAGAGGGGAAGGAGAAAAAAGAGGUGGAAUGUACCAGGUAUAGGUGCAAAUUCCCUGAUGAAUGUUAUCCUCCUGUAUGCCUAAAAUGUACCAAUAAAUGUUCUGCUAUGAAAAAUAAAACCAUAUUUAGUGAGGCAUCUCUAAUUCCUGCUAUCUCAUACAUUUAUGGACCCGUACAUGAUAAACCCGAGGUUCAG
Molecule: RNA transcript, 6013 nt
Organism: Fukomys damarensis (Damara mole-rat)
Lineage: Eukaryota; Metazoa; Chordata; Mammalia; Rodentia; Bathyergidae
Gene: Mfap3
Gene name: microfibril associated protein 3
Exons: 7
Source: RefSeq, a predicted model, not a curated record